RNA transcript from Myotis davidii, 2570 nucleotides. It is a transcript of the gene named tocopherol (alpha) transfer protein-like, with no coding region annotated. The transcript is spliced from 6 exons. The record is from RefSeq and is a predicted model, not a curated record. NCBI's taxonomy places the organism in Eukaryota, Metazoa, Chordata, Mammalia, Chiroptera, Vespertilionidae.
CCCGCCGCCGCUGCCCCGCGCUCCGCCCCGUAACCGGGCCGGCACCCUGGUAGCUAAUGUCAGAAGAAAGUGACUCUCUGAGAACUAGCCCUUCUGUGGCCUCACUUUCCGAAAAUGAGCUGCCACCAGCACCCAAGCCUCCUGGCUACGUGUGCUCGCUGACGGAAGAACUGGUCGCCAAGGCCAGGGAAGAGCUGCAGGAGAAGCCGGAGUGGAGACUCCGAGAUGCGCAGGCCCUCCGAGACAUGGUGCGGAAGGAGUGCCCGGGCCUGCGCACCGCUCUGGACGACGCCUUCCUGCUGCGCUUCCUCCGGGCCCGCAAGUUCGAUUACGACCGGGCCCUGCAGCUCCUGAUCAACUACCACAGCUGCAGGCGGAGCUGGCCCGAGGUCUUCCAGAACCUGAAGCCGUCGGCCCUGAAAGAGGUCCUCGCUUCCGGAUUCCUCACCGUGCUGCCCCACACGGACCCGCGGGGCUGCCAUAUCCUCUGCAUCCGCCCAGACAGAUGGAUACCGAGCAGCUAUCCAAUCACCGAAAACAUCCGAGUCAUAUACUUGACAUUGGAAAAGCUCAUUCAAUCUGAAGAGACCCAAGUGAAUGGAAUUGUAAUUCUUGCAGACUACAAAGGAGUGAGCUUAUCAAAAGCAUCUCACUUUGGCCCUUUUAUAGCCAAAAAGGUGAUUGGCAUCCUUCAGGAUGGCUUUCCCAUUCGGAUAAAAGCGGUCCAUAUCGUGAAUGAACCUCGAAUAUUUAAAGGCAUUUUUGCCAUCAUAAAACCAUUUCUGAAGGAGAAAAUAGCAAACAGAUUUUUCCUCCACGGGUCUGACCUGAACUCUCUCCACACAAACCUUCCAAAAAGUAUUCUCCCCAAGGAGUACGGGGGCACAGCUGGCGAGCUGGACAUUGCUGCCUGGAACGCGGUGCUGCUGGCCUCGGAGGAGGACUUUGUGAGAGAGUUCUGCCAGCCUGUCCCCGCCUGCGACAGCAUCCUGGGGCGGGCCCUGCUGCCCGAGGGGCUGCCCUCAGAAGCGCAGUGUGAUGACUCCAUGCGGGCUGUGAAAUCACAGCUGUACUCCUGCUAUUAGCCAGUCCCUUGUGAGCACCACCAGCUUUCAGUCCUUUCCUUUUUUUCUUUGAGGAGGCACAGGAGAAUUUUAGGUGCCAUGGAUUCUUGCUCCUUGUAAUUAAGCCGCAGCAUGGAGGACAAGCUGAGCGUGAGCGAAAGGGCAUGCCCUUGAUCACUUGAAUUAUUCCAUGAAGACAUGGAAAACGUUCCCAGUGAUUCCCAAAUUUGUGGAAUACCAGUUUGCAACCAUUAAUAUGGAAGUUGUUUCUGGUUCUUAAACAUCUCAAAGCAGGAAGAAUGAGGACCAAAGUCACUUUGAUCCCAUCUUCAGGAGAAAACAACCCAAUUAGCCAGUCAGCACACUCCUAUGAAACACUUGGGUCCAGCCUGCAUGGUGGCCACAUGUGAGACUUUAGGAGUUUGUGUCUCUCACAUGAACCCUAACUCCAGACUUCAGUUGCUCAUCAGGAAUCUACAAGUUUUUAGCCCAGGGGUCGCGACCCACAGGUUGAGAACCGCUGCCUACAUGCAUGUGGCUGGAUCCUGUUUUCCGUGCUACACCUGAGCCUUUCCAAGAGGCAUGUGUCAGUCACCAUUUGGCCUGCCUUUAAAGAAACAAGUAUGUAUGUCCUGGAACUCAGUGAUACCAACCUCCUUUUUGUAGUGAGGGUUAAACUUGAAUGGCUUUUGUGAGGGCAGGCAGGUGAGAUGACCAGGAUCUUGUAUGAAUUCCAUCCCUGAGAUUCUGGUGGUAUAUUGUAAAGCUGGCAGCAGGGAAUGGUUAAGUUACUUGGGAUUCUGAAAUUUUGGUCUCUGGAAAUGAAUAAAGGGCAGGUUAUUGCUGGGUCACUUCUGAUGGCCCUGCCCUCCCAAACCCACGGAAUUUCUCUCUUUGUUGUGGAUGGGCACACUUUAAUCUGUCCAGCCAGGCUGGGUGUUUGUUCUGCAUUUCAAUACUUUAGACUCAUCCUGUCAAGAAUUUAGCCUUUGCCCGGGUGUCAUAUUAGUGGUUCACCUCGUGGCUUUUGACCUAUUUCCUUUCCUAUUCAUUCCAUGUAAACGAUGAUGUUAAAGUAACAAGUACUAUGUGUUGUGUGUGUGACUUCUCUGUGCACUUACUAGGCCACCAGGCAAGGUGUAAGUGAACAGUGCACCGAAAUUCAAAGGCCAGUCUCUUGCAAAUAAGCUGUUCAUCUUUAUAGCACUUUAAAAGUCUGGAGAAGUUGUUGGUAGAAGUUAGGUACCUCAUUAGUGCCAAUUCUAGGGAAAGUUCUUUUCACCAUAGAUACUAACCCUGGAUCCUCUAGGACCUGGCUUAGCUGAAAGUGUCAAAAUGCACACCCCUGGCUGCCUCUAGUUCCGUCUGACAGUGAUGGUGUGACCAGGAUUGCUGAAAAGAUCUAAACAGGACAAGUGGGGUGGCUAAUGUAGGUAGAGGUUCAGGACCCAUCUGCCUGGAUGGGAAAAUUAGUUAGAGGCUUUCCUAGUUCCCAAAGAGUUUUUU